CCCGGCGCGAGCCCCGGAUUGGCUGGGGCGACGUGCGCGGGCGGUGACUCAGCGUCCCCGGCUCUCAAGUAGGGAUCGCGUCAGAGGUAAUUUGACUAGAUUGCACAAAGAAAGAAUUGAUCACUGGAAGCAAAAGCUUUCUGUUCGCCACAGCUCUUUCCACCAGAAAGCAUAAACAUGAUUUUCCACCUGGGCUCCCCAGCUGGCUCCUGGUACUUGGUAUGAUGGAGAGUACCGUGGUUAUGCAUGAACGUUGGGUUACAAGCACCCUGGCAUCAGAACCUCUGUUAAACAUUUUCACGCACAGCAUCUGAUGGUGUGCUGCACGUGGAAAAUACUUGUUGCCUCAAGACUAUCUCUCUGCAGAGGAAAUACAGAGAGCAGAGAAACGUGUUAAAGAGCACCAUGAGGAUGCAACCAGCACAGUCCAGACAGUGGGAACUUUACGUACAGGAUGAACAACCAAGUUGCAAGGAAAAGCAAAACGAUAGAGGUGGAGAGGGAACCUACAGAUCUAAAAAUACUUAAAAUAUACAUCAACCACUAGCGGUGCGUGGACCUUAUUUGGAUCCUGAAUCGAAGAAACAAACGGUGAAGGGAAAAACUUAUGAGACCAGUGACUGGAUAUUUGAUACUAAGGAAUUAGUGUUAACUUUUUAAGGUGUGACAGUGGUCAAAGUCCUUAUCUUUUAAGGACACAUACUCAAAUA
Eubalaena glacialis (North Atlantic right whale) is the source of this 710-nucleotide long non-coding RNA. RefSeq lists it as uncharacterized. The record is from RefSeq and is a predicted model, not a curated record. NCBI's taxonomy places the organism in Eukaryota, Metazoa, Chordata, Mammalia, Artiodactyla, Balaenidae. The transcript is spliced from 3 exons.